Molecule: ribosomal RNA, 346 nt
Filed under: uncultured eukaryote
Lineage: Eukaryota
Description: SSU rRNA
Rfam family: Eukaryotic small subunit ribosomal RNA
Source: RNAcentral
AUAGCGUAUAUUAAAGUUGUUGCAGUUAAAAAGCUCGUAGUUGAAUUUUAGGCCCGGUUGGACGGUCUGCUCUAGGGCUUGUACUGUCCUGACUGGGUCUUACCUUCUGGUGAGCUGUCGUGUUGUUUAUUCAGUGCGGCAGGGAACCAGGACUUUUACUUUGAAAAAAUUAGAGUGUUUAAAGCAGGCAUUCGCUUGAAUACAUUAGCAUGGAAUAAUAAAAUAGGACUUUGGUUCUAUUUUGUUGGUUUCUAGGACCGAAGUAAUGAUUAAUAGGGAUAGUUGGGGGCAUUAGUAUUUAAUUGUCAGAGGUGAAAUUCUUGGAUUUAUGAAAGACUAACUUCUG